UACGAAGGGGGCUAGCGUUGCUCGGAAUUACUGGGCGUAAAGCGCACGUAGGCGGCUUGUUAAGUCGGAGGUGAAAUCCUGGAGCUCAACUCCAGAACUGCCUUCGAUACUGGCGAGCUCGAGUCCGGGAGAGGUGAGUGGAACUGCGAGUGUAGAGGUGAAAUUCGUAGAUAUUCGCAAGAACACCAGUGGCGAAGGCGGCUCACUGGCCCGGUACUGACGCUGAGGCGCGACAGCGUGGGGAGCAAACAGG
RNAcentral lists this ribosomal RNA (253 nucleotides) under uncultured bacterium. RNAcentral's name for it is "partial 16S ribosomal RNA". It matches the Rfam family "Bacterial small subunit ribosomal RNA", at positions 524 to 776 of the family's 1533-position model. The record is from RNAcentral.